CAUUAAGAAGCUAUAUAMGCAUUAACCUUUUAAGUUAAAGACUAGGAGUUUAAAUCUCCUCUUAAUGA
This 68-nucleotide transfer RNA is filed under the name Prionodon linsang (banded linsang). Its description in RNAcentral is "tRNA-Lys". The record is from RNAcentral. Lineage: Eukaryota; Metazoa; Chordata; Mammalia; Carnivora; Viverridae.